GGGCCCGUAACUCAGCUUGGUAGAGUGACCGGCUCAUAACCGGUAAGUCGUGGGAUCGAAGCCCACCGGGCCCA
RNAcentral lists this transfer RNA (74 nucleotides) under Nitrososphaerota archaeon. RNAcentral's name for it is "Thaumarchaeota archaeon tRNA-Ile". It matches the Rfam family "tRNA". Rfam says of the family: Transfer RNA (tRNA) molecules are approximately 80 nucleotides in length. Their secondary structure includes four short double-helical elements and three loops (D, anti-codon, and T loops). Further hydrogen bonds mediate the characteristic L-shaped molecular structure. tRNAs have two regions of fundamental functional importance: the anti-codon, which is responsible for specific mRNA codon recognition, and the 3' end, to which the tRNAs corresponding amino acid is attached (by aminoacyl-tRNA synthetases). tRNAs cope with the degeneracy of the genetic code in two manners: having more than one tRNA (with a specific anti-codon) for a particular amino acid; and 'wobble' base-pairing, i.e. permitting non-standard base-pairing at the 3rd anti-codon position. Lineage: Archaea; Thermoproteati; Nitrososphaerota. The record is from RNAcentral. RNAcentral also lists the same sequence under 2 other names.